GAAGAAUCCCCCAACCACUGCUUUCUAUAGUUGGGCGAAAUAAAGCAGUCUCUCUUAACAUCUCAAUCCGAAAAAAACCUAAAGACCUGAUAACCACGCCAUGUCUCAGGUGGAUAGCAGAAAUUCAUCAGCAGCGAAGCGUGCAAGAACUGACGGUAGUCGCAGGGAGGAUGACUGGACUUGUCCAAGCUGCGGCAAUGUCAACUUUUCAUUCAGGACAACUUGUAAUAUGCGCAAUUGUACCCAACCCAGACCAGCUGAUCAUAAUUCGAAAUCUGCUGCCAAGCCCCUGCAAGCACCACAGGGUUACUCAUCAGCCCCAUAUUUAGGUUCUGGUGCACCUGCUUCAAUGUAUAUGGGUGUGCCGCAAUAUGGGCCCUCCCUCUUCAAUGGAUCCUCUAUUCCUACAUAUGACAUUCCGUUCACUGGGGGCUCAGCUUAUCAUUACAGCUAUGGCAGCCGCCUUUCUGGUGGCAGUCCAUAUAGACCGUUGCAUAUGUCAGGACCACCUCCUUACUCUGGUGGAUCUAUGAUGGGAAAUGGUGGGAUGUACGCAAUACCCCCCCUAAUGGACCGGUAUGGAUUGGGUAUGCCAAUGGGCCCUGCAGCGAUGGGGCCAAGGCCAGGAUUUUUCCCAGAUGAUAAAUCUCAGAAGAAGGGUUCAGAUGCGACGCGUGAUAAUGACUGGACAUGCCCAAAAUGUGGGAACAUCAACUUCUCUUUUAGAACUUUUUGCAACAUGAGAAAGUGCAAUACACCAAAGCCAGGAUCCCAGGCUGCCAAGUCUGACAAAAAUUCCAAACAAAAAAUGCCAGAGGGAAGCUGGAAGUGUGAAAAAUGCAACAAUAUAAACUACCCAUUCCGGACCAAGUGCAAUAGACAAAAUUGUGGGGCUGAGAAACCUUCCGAGUCAGCGAAAUCCCCUUCUCCAGAACCAGAUGAGGUUGAACAGGAUUGUUUCCUAAGCUCCCGUGGUUCCUCGAUAUCCGACGCCAACUGUUCAUGAUGAAUUCGAGGUCAGACCUGAAAAGAAAGGUUAUUCAACGUUGCUUCUGAGGAGAGGGAUAUUGGCGCUCCCAAACCCCUCACCAUCGGUCCGAACCUCAGUGACCUGACUGUUUCAUUAUCCCUCCCUGAACCACCUGUCUUUUGCUUUCCAUUCUUCGUGGUGCAGUUGUUGCCUUCUUUGCACAAAAUGAGUUUCCACCGACGGGUAGCUAUUACUUUUAACAUUAAAAUGGAAAGAGGUGAUAAAACGAUGGAGUUCACCUGAUGAAGCAUUUUGCGUGAGAGUAGGAAGCUAAUCUAAUAAAGGAGAAAUCUCAGUUAAUGCGAGAUGUUGGGGACAAGACGAAGCUCAAUUCCAUGUGUCUUCGAGGCAGAAAUUGAUGUGAUUGCCUUGUAGCUCGUCAAAAUUUGUUGUGAUUGCCUAAAAUCCAGCGAGUAACGAAGGAGAGAUGAUGAAUGGAUGACAUGUCAUCCAUGCAAAUGACGUCGUGUUUUAUCUAAAAAGGAAUUAAAGGGGCAUAUACUCGAGCCCAAGCAAGUCGAGGCUCGAGGCUCGAGGCUCAAGGCCCGAGAUCCUUUUUCUCCCCUUUAUAUUAUUGUUUUUUUAAUGAUUUACGUUGUUGAAUUUCUUGUUUUUUCUUUUGUUAUUGUAAUAUUAAUAUAAUGAAAUAUCAUUUUUGUUUAUUUUUUUUUAAA
Populus euphratica (Euphrates poplar) is the source of this 1704-nucleotide RNA transcript. It is a transcript of the gene named ranBP2-type zinc finger protein At1g67325-like, with no coding region annotated. The transcript is spliced from 11 exons. NCBI's taxonomy places the organism in Eukaryota, Viridiplantae, Streptophyta, Magnoliopsida, Malpighiales, Salicaceae. The record is from RefSeq and is a predicted model, not a curated record.